GGAAGGAAGGUAAAAAAAGAGCUACUGCAAUAAUGUGGCAACAUCAAGUGCCCAUGGACCAGAAACCCAGUGCAGCCAGUAGGACCAGCUCCACAGCAGCAAUGCCACCAAAGGCACAGCCUCUGCCCAGAGUUCAAGUGGCCCCUGUGCCCCACACAAGACAUUAAUAACUAGUAGUAGUAUGGCUUUUAAGUCAGCUCACCAACAGGAGGGCUAAUGGGUGAGAAAGCAAUGAAAAGCAGAACCUGCACACACUAUAAAGCACUCUACAUAAUGAGCACCCUUCUGUUAAACAAGGUCUUAAACCUGGUGAGGGUCUGCAUGUCACUUGAGGGUUGGGCAUCCUGGAUCCCUCUUCUUCUGAAGUGAACUGGUUUUAGUGUUAAAUACAAGAGAAGCCCCAAGUUCCAGUCCCCACUCUCUGACAAGUUUCCCACUACAGACAAAAAAAUUGAGAACAGCAAAGUUAAGUGAGCAUCCCAAGGUCACACAGCCAGGAAAGUUCUUUCUCUUCUCUUUUCCCUUUUCUCAGUGCUGGGAGACAAAGUCCAAAGCCUUGUGCAUGA
Molecule: long non-coding RNA, 566 nt
Organism: Perognathus longimembris pacificus (Pacific pocket mouse)
Lineage: Eukaryota; Metazoa; Chordata; Mammalia; Rodentia; Heteromyidae
Exons: 3
Source: RefSeq, a predicted model, not a curated record